This 777-nucleotide long non-coding RNA is filed under the name Pan troglodytes (chimpanzee). Its description in RNAcentral is "lincRNA". The record is from RNAcentral. Lineage: Eukaryota; Metazoa; Chordata; Mammalia; Primates; Hominidae.
CAUGUAAGAUAUGACUGUGGUCCUCCUUCACCUUCUGCCAUGAUUGUGAGGCCUCCACAGCCAUGUGGAACUCCAUGAGUAUGACUAUGUGCUGAGUCCUGUGAGUCCUCCUACUGAAUCAUCAAAGCCAGGGGAGAAGCUGUUUUUCCCUCUUUGGGGUCUCAGAGAGAUUGGUGGCAAGGACUCCUGGGAAGAGAAAAGCUGAAAGACACUCUGGCAAGAGGUACCACCUCUCACUGGCUGCCCAAGCAAGAUUCUAUGGCUUGGAAUAAUUCUCAGCGACUCACUCAUCAAAGGGCAUCUAUCUAGAAGCCCUGCUCCUUCAGGGACAUCUGAGGUUGAUGAGCUGAUUCAAUAAGCCAUCAGAGCUGGAAUAGUAGUAGUUAACAAUGGCUCUCUGCACUCUUUUUAAAUAACUUUGCUUUUCAGGCCAAGGUGAGAGCCUCGUGGGAAUUUCACAAAUUUUAUAGAAGCAGAGGAGUGCUAUUUGAGCAAGGGGCGGAUAACACCUACAAUCCACUCAGGAUUUCCAAGCAUAGCCCGAGGCUGAAGUACUCAUAUUUCACUACAGAAUCACCUGGGGAGCUUUUAACCUUCUGAUUCUAGUGUUUCCCUCUGGCAGAUGGAGACAGAAACUUGAGUGGGCUCAGGAAUAUGUGUUUUUAAAAUUCUCCAGAAGAUUUUAAUGCAGUACAAGUAAGAAGACAGGACUGCAAUUCACAAGAACAGUAUAGCCUGGGGAUUCCUCAGAACAGAACAGACUCAAAAAAAAAGAAA